RNAcentral lists this ribosomal RNA (254 nucleotides) under uncultured bacterium. RNAcentral describes it as "partial 16S ribosomal RNA". It matches the Rfam family "Bacterial small subunit ribosomal RNA", at positions 524 to 776 of the family's 1533-position model. The record is from RNAcentral.
UACAGAGGGUGCGAGCGUUGUCCGGAAUCACUGGGCGUAAAGGGCGCGUAGGUGGUGGCUUAAGCGUGCGGUGAAAGCUCGGGGCUCAACCCCGAGUCGGCCGUGCGAACUGGGCUCACUGGAGCAUAGUAGAGGCAGGUGGAAUUCCGGGUGUAGCGGUGGAAUGCGUAGAUAUCGUAAGGAAGACCAGUGGCGAAGGCGAAUCUCUGGACAGUUACUGACACUGAGGCACGAAGGCCAGGGGAGCAAACGGG